CUAUCAAUCGCCGAAGUAUCUAGUGGCAAAGUGUGUGCGUAAAUCUACAUUUUUAUCAAAAUAUUUUGCUUAAACAAAAGAAAAUUAGUUUUUUUAUUGUGCUUUGUGCCUUGAUGUUAAUCACCCUCUAAUAUAUCAUCUGAUGCCGCAUCGAAAAGUAAGCUCUACAUGCAGCACCAAAGACCGUUAGUUACAUAAAAUCAGAAAAUUGGUGCGGACCUGGUGGGUGAAUAUUCAUGAGGAAACAAUAAACUUUUAUCUGCCUAUGAUUCCUCAGUGUAUUUACUGUAAUCCACGUUUUUCAUAAGCUGAUUCUCGAUAUGAAGUAGAUGUCCAAAAUUUAUAAAAAUGAAAAUAGACAGAUCUAGAGUACGUAAAAGCACUUCAGAAGUACCUUUAGAAUGUCAACAGUUGAUAGAACGUCUACAACAAUGUUCACGAACAGAAUUAUUGGACGAGCUAUCCAGGAUUCAUUCUUGGACUUUUGGAAAGUGCGAGUUAUUGCACUGGGCUCAGGUUCUUGAUGUUUUUGACAGAUUGCUGGGUUCUGCUGCUGAGCGCAAUGAGGAAAAUAAAUGGAUUUUGAAAUGUGACACAUAUAAUGAGCAGGUGAGUAACCAGAAUUGUAGGCUAGGUAGUCGUUGUCUAAUGGAGGGAUUGGCUCAGAGUGAUUCACUCUGCAAUGGGAAUCCUCAACGGUAGUUACCAGCAAUGCCUGGAAACCUCCUGAAUGGUACACUCGUUAAUGAGACCCUAUGCUUUGUGCCAGUGGUAUUUAUGGAGGAGGAGUGGAGGGAGAACUCUUUUGAUUGGCUUGGAUGGUGUUGGGGUUAACUGGGUAUCAGAGAGCUGGAUAACACGUUUUGUUGAUACUGAUGAUUAACUUUUUUUGAUCGAAGUUAUUUUUCUUAAUCUCUGGCUUCUUGGUUCAUAUGCGUGUAAUAUUGGCAUGUAAUGUGAAGCACGUCUAUUCAAUCAAAUUAUCUCAUGGCGUUGGUACCCUUAGCUUUUGAAGUCAAUACAAAAGAUUAGUAUGUAUUUGUGAAGUAAGUACAGAUUUGUCGAAUAUAACUGAGAAAUUAAAUAGCACACCGUUUAUUCUACAAUUAAAGUAGUUCAAUUCGUUCAUUGAAAAAGUUGACCACCACUGCUGUAGUCAGUUUGAUUUGUCCUGACUCAUUGUUUUCGAAAAGAUUGUAUAUUAAAAUCCUUAAUGUUUCUUCAAAGAAUAUUUGUUAUCAGUGAAAUGCUUACAUUGUCUGAUAAGAAAUAAUAAUUGAUAAUUCGGAUGAGUUAUAAGUCAAAACGAUUUAUCUUCACACAUAUUAUAUGUGCUUCAGAACCCCAUUGAAUAUGAAGUGAAUCGGAAAAAUCAAAACCUUGUUUGUUUUUAAAUGUUUUCUUGAUUUUUCGAUAAUUUAGAAUGUCAAUUACAUUUGUUUUCCGAAUCUUAGUAAUACAGAGAAUUUGCAUUGAAUUAAAAAAAAACUAUCAGACAAAUUUGUCAUAAAACUAGGUUUAUUUAUAUGAGUAGACCCAACUGGGUCUCCUACUCUGUGAAGGGAAGAGGUGUCUCAUCUCUUCAUAAAAGGUUACCUAUGAUUAAAAGUUGAAUAUGUUAAGAAAUUAGAUCUUUUGAUAGAGUAGAAUUUGAAGUUCAACA
Molecule: long non-coding RNA, 1663 nt
Filed under: Leptinotarsa decemlineata (Colorado potato beetle)
Lineage: Eukaryota; Metazoa; Arthropoda; Insecta; Coleoptera; Chrysomelidae
Description: uncharacterized LOC111507932
Source: RNAcentral